GUGCUCACUGGGGCAGCAGAUAUACUAAAAUUGGAACGAUACAGAGAAGAUUAGCAUGGUCCCU
This 64-nucleotide small nuclear RNA is filed under the name Opisthocomus hoazin. Lineage: Eukaryota; Metazoa; Chordata; Aves; Opisthocomiformes; Opisthocomidae. The record is from RNAcentral.